AGACUUGAAAACCCCCGGAUUCCCACCUAGAUAGCGUGGUGUCGGAGCAAUCCGACUAUGGCGAUAAACGCGCCCGUAAUAAGCGGCUCGGACCCGGGGGCGGUACCCGGCGGCUCCACCAACUUCCCUCAUUGGCUGGGAACAAGGGGCCGAAAUAGGAUCGACGGACGUCUAAAGGGGUUAGCUUUCGCUCGGUGAGGUACCACCGUUAUCGGUCCAAGCAUGAUAGUUGCCAAUGACAACCGUGCUCCGGUCGCCGUUGCUGCGUAAGCAGUAACCAGACCGAAACUUAAGCCCUGGCCUCUAGCAAGGUCAGGCGGGGUUCGCAGGCACCUGGCAACAGAAGCCUGCACU
Roseovarius sp. 22II1-1F6A is the source of this 354-nucleotide non-coding RNA. The record is from Rfam. Lineage: Bacteria; Pseudomonadati; Pseudomonadota; Alphaproteobacteria; Rhodobacterales; Roseobacteraceae.